CGCCUCUGUAGAAAUGGCAGUAAGCCGUCAAGACAACAGGAUGACUGGCAGCUGACACCGUCUUGUCUGUCAUCAGCCACCCCAGCACAGGGCUGGGUGUCCCAGUGGCAGAGAGGAAGGCUAUGCAUGAGUUAGUCGGUAAUUGGUAGAGGCUUCAAUUAUGUAGGCCUUAUCUGCACAUACCGUUGCUUCCAAAUGUCUAACCUGCCAGCCACAGGGGCUGACAACGCUGAGUUUCCACAUCCGUCUUCAAGGAGGAAGUUGAAUACGUGUGCGGAAUAGAGACUCCUCUUGACUGGGGUCACCAGCUUGUCUUGGUAAAGGUUUAUAUUUCCUGCCUGCAGGGACAGCAUCCUUAACACCACUCUCCAUCAACAUGGGCCAAGUGACUCACUCUAUCACAAAGGAAGUACAGCCGCAGACACAUGGCCACAGGAUCCAUGGUUUCUCUGUGGCAUUACCUGGAAACGGUUAACCUGAUCGAGAGGCGGGGAAAGCUUUCUGGAAAUGUGGCAGAGAUGACAGGCUAGGGAGUGUCUUGGUUAGCGUCAAACACCAGCUUAACACACAUUCUGCGGGAAGGGUCACUAAGAAUGUCUAUGAAGGAUUACCUUACGUUAGUUGAUAAGAGAGGACUCCUCUUCCCCUAGCCAGGGAUGAUACCAUUCCAUUUGUAGACUGUAUAAGAAGGAGGCAGGGAGCAGCAGCUCGGACCCAUUCAGUCAUCUGUCUCUGCUCGUGCCUCUGAGUGUGGGGUGACCCAUGACUUCUAGUUUCUGCCAUGUGGACUUCCUCUCCAUGAUGGACUAUGAGCUGGAACUAUGAGCCAGCACAAAACCUUCCUCUCUUAAAGUGCUUCGAUGGGAGUAUUUUUCAUUACAGCAAAUGGAAGAGAAAGAAAGGCAGGAAUGUUACCCAUGAGGGCCCAGCUGCCCCUAACGAUGGCCAACAACAAGAACCAGAGCCUGAGAAGGGAGCUGUUGAGCUCUGAACAUGAAAUGACCCUGUAGGCUCAUGUGUUUGAAUACGUGGUCCCAGCUAGUGGCAAUGUUUUGGAAAAGGUGUUUGAUCAUAGCAGAAGAAAAGUAACAUGGAAGGGAUAACCAAGAGUCAGAAAUGAUGAUCUGGACCACACUUGUCCUAGAACAGACAUAGUAUCGGACCGUCUCCUGCUCCCUUUGAAGUUGGCUGUCCCUGCAUCCUUGGAUGGGUAAGUGAAUGUCUGCUCAGGUAGAUGGCACCCCAUGUUCAUACAUUUCUAAGAUCAACUUUGAUUAGAAGAUAAGGCUGGCAUUUAUUUUGAAGUGGCUUCUUGGGCCAUUAAUAUGAAUCAGACCCAAUUCAGUGUAAUUAGCAACCAUGCACACAUAUUAGUAUAAUAUAUAUUAGCCCGUUGGUUAAAUUACCUCCAGUAUCAUAAACUAAUUUGCCAUAGACUGGAUUACGGCGAGAGCACUGGAGGUGAUGGAGAGUUUGCAAAUGCAGAGAUGGCACGUAUUUUGCUGGCAACUGGUAAUUUACCACUCACUCAGAUGCCAUAAAUACUAGUUUUGGCAAGGGGAGAAUCCUGGAAUUUAUCUCUGGUCUACACUGUGGUUCGACUGUUAGACCGGGAAGCCUUUUUACAUCCUUGAGUUACAGAUGAGUUCCUCACUUUUAUUAGUGUGCCAGCCUGUAGCUUUCCUCCACGCUGGCAGAUCACAGUGGAAGCUCUGAAUGUCUGCACGGGGACUAGGAGGAGGGUUAGGUUCCAGGACCUCUUAGCUCUGUGACCUUGAACCUUCCCUUUGCCAGUCAGCUCUGUGACCUUGAACCCACCCUUGGCCUCCCUGGGCCUCUGUUUUACCUUCUGUUGUUUGAGUGAUUCUAUUUGGAAUUCAUAUUGUUUUUAUUUCUUUAAUCUGAAUUACAUUCAGAUGGUUCCAUUGAGUGUCUAUCUCCAGCGAACGCCUAUAAUGAGAGUCCUUUCUUAGGGACACUUUGGAUUUGAGGACCAGCAGAAACACUAUCUGAUUUUGUGUGAGUAUGGGCAGGGAGGGGCAGUUGGCCUGGACUGUGGAUGCUGCUGACCUCUGGAGUCCAAAGAGGAAGACUCAAAAAAAUAAAUGAGUAUUUUUAUUUGCGAACGAGCGUUUUUAUUUGCCAACGUCCGCUUGUUUUGUGUCAGGACCAGUUAAACCAGUCAGGAUUUUUACUGGAAUGCUAUUUCUAGUGUACAACAGCUUCUCUCCCAGUGACUGAAGUGAGCCACAGAGCCACCCAUCUUUUCAUAUGCUGACUCUUUGCUAAAUACUUCUUCCUAAUGCAGAGUUCUCUUCUUCGUGAAGGCAAUGAAGGUUAAGAGGGCAGGCCCAGGCCCUUUGUGAGGUUUGUUGUAUAUCCACGAAGCCGGUCCAUCUCACUAAAUACUGUGUCAAACACCAGGCUAAUGUGAAUGAGUUCUGUAGAGGAGAUAGACAAUUCAAUCAGUUCUCCGUGAGAAAUUCAGUGGCUGGGCCUCAUCCAAUCAGUUGAUGAUCUGAAAGAUACUGAGUGCCCCAAAGGAAAAAGGGGUUCUUUGUCCCUCCUACAAAAUCUCUACUUUUUCUUGGCUCUACAGCUUGUGGGCCUGUACUGCAGGCACAUCCUGCUCUUCAUGAACAUCUGAGUCAAUUUCUUUCUCUUAUUUUGUUAUUUAAAAAACCUUGGAAAUAAAUAAAAAACCUCAGAUACAAAAAUUAGCCAGACCCAAAGACUAUACAACUUAAUGAACUCAUAUACAAUUAGAACUGGCAUUCAGAAUGGAAGCUGUGAGACUUCAUAUUAAAUUUUAUACUUUCCUUAUCGAAUACACAUUUCUCUGUCACACAACCCAAAAGCUUCAUGGCAGAGCAAAGACAAGAAAAAGUAUUUCCUUUUAUAACUCAUGUCCAUUACCUGCAUUCUGUCCUUCCUCAUUCCCUUAUAGUUACUAAUUUAUUAUUCUUUGCCUUCAUGGUCUACUGUGUCCACGUGGGUAUUUGUUUACAUAUGUAUUAUUGAUUAGAUUUCACAUGUGAGAGAAAACAUGAGGUUUAUUUCUUUCUGAGGCUGACCUUGCUUUAUAUCAUAUAUUCAAAGUCUCUCCAGUUUCCUGCAAAGUUUUCAACUUUAAUAUUCUUUUGAGCUUUGCAGUUCACACACACAGACCACACACACAC
Myodes glareolus (Bank vole) is the source of this 3179-nucleotide non-coding RNA. NCBI's taxonomy places the organism in Eukaryota, Metazoa, Chordata, Mammalia, Rodentia, Cricetidae. The record is from RefSeq and is a predicted model, not a curated record.